Molecule: ribosomal RNA, 253 nt
Filed under: uncultured bacterium
Lineage: Bacteria
Description: partial 16S ribosomal RNA
Rfam family: Bacterial small subunit ribosomal RNA
Source: RNAcentral
UACGUAGGGGGCUAGCGUUGUCCGGAAUUAUUGGGCGUAAAGAGCUCGUAGGCGGCUUGUCACGUCGGGUGUGAAAGCCCGGGGCUUAACCCCGGGUCUGCAUUCGAUACGGGCUAGCUAGAGUGUGGUAGGGGAGAUCGGAAUUCCUGGUGUAGCGGUGAAAUGCGCAGAUAUCAGGAGGAACACCGGUGGCGAAGGCGGAUCUCUGGGCCAUUACUGACGCUGAGGAGCGAAAGCGUGGGGAGCAAACAGG